RNAcentral lists this ribosomal RNA (284 nucleotides) under uncultured bacterium. RNAcentral describes it as "partial 16S ribosomal RNA". It matches the Rfam family "Bacterial small subunit ribosomal RNA", at positions 355 to 654 of the family's 1533-position model. The record is from RNAcentral.
UGGGGAAUAUUGGACAAUGGGGGGCAACCCUGAUCCAGCAAUGCCGCGUGUGUGAAGAAGGUCUUCGGAUUGUAAAGCACUUUCGACGGGGACGAUGAUGACGGUACCCGUAGAAGAAGCCCCGGCUAACUUCGUGCCAGCAGCCGCGGUAAGUACGAAGGGGGCUAGCGUUGCUCGGAAUGACUGGGCGUAAAGGGCGUGUAGGCGGUUUACACAGUCAGAUGUGAAAUCCCCGGGCUUAACCUGGGAGCUGCAUUUGAUACGUGUAGACUAGAGUGUGAGAG